AUAUCUUCUGUACAGUAACAUUCAAAAGUUUGAAAUCAUCUUUAUCGGAUAAAUCAUUGAUAUUAAUGUCUCGCACGACGACGACGGAGUCUUUUUGCACUCGAGCUUUAAAGGAGAAAACAAAUAUGAGUCGCACGAAGGACUCUUAAAGAUUCGAAUCGUAUUUUCUUCUGCUGGCAGUUGAUCAAUCGAUUUUUUCACACGAAAAUUCACACGAAUCCAGUGGAUUCUUUCAAACUUUUGAGCGACAGUGUAUGCAUGUUUACGUGUGCAUAUUUGUACACAAUGUACGAAUAAACUGGUAUAUCCCCAUCGCCAUGGAGAAAUGCGAGUCGCGGGUUUUUCUCGCAUGUGCGUACGAUCGAGCGAAGAAACCCUACCCGAGCUCUUUCAAGAGUUUCAUAUAUUCGAUACAGAAUCCGGCGAGGUCAGCCAACUGGCGGUUUAUCCGCUUUUUACGCACCUUCCUUGACAAAGCAAAGCGAUUAAAAAGAAUUAACAUCGCGUUGGAAACUGACGGAGUCACGGAGUGUCUUCCACCGCCGGUCAAUUACGUGUGAUGUCGUAUAAAUAUCUGUUUGUUUGUCAGACGUAUCUACGUGUGCGAUAACUCAGAGCACCCAAAGCGAAAAUGAAUUUUGGUGGGCGAUCGCCGCGGUGGGACGGACAGAAAAAAACAAGAGACUGUGUGCGCGAGGUAGAAUCCGUAGGUUCCAAAAGAUCGCGUGGGCUUUUAUCGUUCGCCCGCAAAAGUAAAUGCGCGCCUACGGUACAUCUGUGCUAACUCUUCACCAACGAGACUAGUUCCUCUAUGGCUUCCCAUAUGUGAAUAAAAUACGCACGGGUUUCGCUCUGUCUACCCGUUUCCACGUUAAUUACUUCCCUCGGCUCUGCAUCGCAGUGCUAAUUAAAUUUGGAUUGCAACGAGUUUUUUAUUUGGCUUUUUUUUCCAACGAAGGUACAAGUUUUCAACGAACUGUUGUAUGCAACACUGUAUCGGAUUUGAUUUGGCGAAGUUCGAGGAUCGAAAAUUCCAAAAAUCCUUUUCCAAAAACUUUCUUUUUGCUCGAAAUUAAAAUUGACAAUCUAAUGCUCGAAUUUGAUGAAUUAAAUGAGAUCAACUAGUUUUCAACGAUUACGAACAUUGACCUUUGACACAGACGAAAAAGCAUUAUUGGCUAAUAGUUUAGAUGAAGAGCUUUCUCAAAAUAAUACAUUUUUUCCGCAUCGAAUAAGAAUAAAUCGAUUACUCGAUUACGAACCUUGGAAAACUAUUUUUUUCGUUCUCAUAUUAGUUUUUGUUGCGGCAAUGGUUUGUGAAAACGGUUGCUCGCAGCUUAAAAAACUGACUUCUGAAAAUAUUUCUACUACAGAUAAAAAGUUUGCAAUAAUCUAUGCGGAACGAGAAUUAAAGGAAUUCUUUCGGAGACUCGAAUCAAGAUUUCUAGCGAAUAAACGCACCGAAACGAUCAGGCUAAAAAUUAUCCAUUGAUGUUCAAAUGAUGGGAUAUUUAUAGAUUUUUCCUAUCUAAAUAAUUCCACUUCUUAUGAAUAACUAAUGGAGUCGAAGAGCCAAUGAAUCUCUCAACAAUGAACGAAUUCAAAAAAUAUAUCAAUGCCUACCUAAUCACAGUCAUGUGAAUUUCUAAUAAAAAAAAAAUUUCAUUAUAUUUAUUCCUACCGAGAGUGAAUUAGAAUAUUGCUGAGAAUUCACUAAAAGAUAUCAAGGUGUCUUUGGAAGCGUCUUGUGCCGUGAUUGAAGUUGGAUAUAAGAGGGUAAGUAACCGUGAAGAAAUGGGAUGGAAUUGUAAGGGAAUAAACGCCUCUCGUUCAUUCCAACAUCGAUAUUGAGUAGUACAGAACAAAUUUAAUUUCUCUACCUUCGAAUGCCAUAUAAAGUGAAGUAUUGAAUCUUGUAUUGAGUUGAGUUGUCAGAAACUGGGAAUAGAAAAUUAAGAGAAAGGAUAAAAACGAGUAAAAAGUGGAUUCAUGACAAAUUAAAGGCCAAAGAUGUGUGAUAGGUGGCAAAAUGGAUAUAGAGCAAGACGCUAUUUCUGUGAAAAGAGCUUCUCACCAAAAAGGGAAGUCUACGAGUGAAACAACGAGUAAAAAAGGAAUUCAAAGGGUUUUUGAAUCGCAAUUCUGCAAUGCCGUUUUCCACGAGGUUCCCCCCUCUUCAUCUUAAUCACUUACAACGGAAGAAAGUGACGGUUAAUUAGCAAGAUUAAUAGGAAACUAAGAAGAUGAGAGUUAUGUCGUGGUGUUAACGUUAUGGUUAAUAAUGACGUUAUU
This is a long non-coding RNA of Venturia canescens, 2292 nucleotides long. RefSeq lists it as uncharacterized. The record is from RefSeq and is a predicted model, not a curated record. Lineage: Eukaryota; Metazoa; Arthropoda; Insecta; Hymenoptera; Ichneumonidae. The transcript has 3 exons.